UUACCGGUCGGCGACGCUACUGCUUUGGGUACUUUCAGGACCCGUCUUGAAACACGGACCAAGGAGUCUAACAUGUGCGCGAGUCAUUGGGUUAUCGUUAAAAAUUGAUGAAGCCUAAAGGCGCAAUGAAAGUGAAGGUCGUCCCUAGGUCGACCGAGGGAGGAUGGCCCGGGUCCUUUAAUAGCCUCGGGUCCGCACUCCCGGGG
RNAcentral lists this ribosomal RNA (206 nucleotides) under Ceratosolen sp. ex Ficus arbuscula. Its description in RNAcentral is "partial 28S ribosomal RNA". It matches the Rfam family "Eukaryotic large subunit ribosomal RNA", at positions 608 to 766 of the family's 3401-position model. The record is from RNAcentral. Lineage: Eukaryota; Metazoa; Arthropoda; Insecta; Hymenoptera; Agaonidae.